Long non-coding RNA from Brassica napus (rape), 396 nucleotides. RefSeq lists it as uncharacterized. The transcript has 2 exons. NCBI's taxonomy places the organism in Eukaryota, Viridiplantae, Streptophyta, Magnoliopsida, Brassicales, Brassicaceae. The record is from RefSeq and is a predicted model, not a curated record.
AGCAUAAUACAAGAUAAAUUCACAUUCUUUUUAAAUAGGACUACUAAACAAGUUAAAGGACAUCCAUUGGUUAAGAAAACCAUGAAGAUACAGACAUCUCUCAUGUGCAUAUUCAUCAUCUCCCUAUUUACUUUGCAUCAGUGUGCAAGGAUCUAUAUUAGAGAAAUGGAUAAAUCUAACAUAAUCAUAGACUCAAAUUGCUAUCAUACAAAUUGGUUUAACAAAAGGGGUUGGUGUUGUACAGCCUUAAAAGGUGAUCCAUGUUGGGGUGACAAAGCCUCCUGUGAUUCAACAUGUCCUCGUCCUCUUUCUUCUUCUCCUUAAAACAAUAUAUAAUAAAAUUAAUGUAUUAAUUUGUUUAUGCAUGAAAGUAAUAAAUAAUAUAAAGUUAUCUAA